RNAcentral lists this small RNA (65 nucleotides) under Arabidopsis thaliana (thale cress). RNAcentral's name for it is "ATSL026410". Lineage: Eukaryota; Viridiplantae; Streptophyta; Magnoliopsida; Brassicales; Brassicaceae. The record is from RNAcentral.
UAUAAUUACUCUAUUUUAGGAUUUAACAUGUGGUACGACGGACAAUUUUUUUAAUUAGUAUAUAU